Molecule: small nucleolar RNA, 108 nt
Filed under: Olea europaea subsp. europaea
Lineage: Eukaryota; Viridiplantae; Streptophyta; Magnoliopsida; Lamiales; Oleaceae
Description: Plant small nucleolar RNA R71
Rfam family: Plant small nucleolar RNA R71
About the family: R71 is a member of the C/D box family of snoRNAs containing the C (UGAUGA) and D (CUGA) box motifs. Multiple nearly identical copies of this snoRNA have been identified in Arabidopsis, and it is thought to function as a 2'-O-ribose methylation guide for 18S ribosomal RNA.
Source: Rfam by way of RNAcentral
AAUCCAUGUUGUGGGCAUUGGCGAAGUAAACCCUUUUUAUCAUUCCCAAACCUCUGAUUAGCAUUCUCAAUCCAUUUGCUGAAAAGUGGUGAUCUCGUCCCUCAAUUU